RNAcentral lists this ribosomal RNA (821 nucleotides) under Capnocytophaga sp. 91. RNAcentral's name for it is "bacterial SSU rRNA". It matches the Rfam family "Bacterial small subunit ribosomal RNA", at positions 41 to 863 of the family's 1533-position model. The record is from RNAcentral. Lineage: Bacteria; Pseudomonadati; Bacteroidota; Flavobacteriia; Flavobacteriales; Flavobacteriaceae.
GGCAGGCCUAACACAUGCAAUUCGAGGGGUUAGAAGAGCUUGCUCUUCCUAGACCGGCGUACGGGGUGCGUAACGCGUGUACAAUCUACCUUUUACAGAGGGAUAACCUGAAGAAAUUUGGACUAAUACCUCAUAGAAUUACUUUAUGGCAUCAUAGGGUAAUUAAAGCUACGGCGGUAAAAGAUGAGUACGCGUUCUAUUAGCUAGUUGGAGUGGUAACGGCACCCCAAGGCUACGAUAGAUAGGGGUCCUGAGAGGGAGAUCCCCCACACUGGUACUGAGACAGGGACCAGACUCCUACGGGAGGCAGCAGUGAGGAAUAUUGGUCAAUGGUCGGAAGACUGAACCAGCCAUGCCGCGUGCAGGAAGACGGCCUUAUGGGUUGUAAACUGCUUUUGCAAGGGAAGAAUAAGCUCUACGAGUAGAGUGAUGACGGUACUUUGCGAAUAAGCAUCGGCUAACUCCGUGCCAGCAGCCGCGGUAAUACGGAGGAUGCGAGCGUUAUCCGGAAUCAUUGGGUUUAAAGGGUCUGUAGGCGGGUUGUUAAGUCAGGGGUGAAAGUUUGCGGCUUAACCGUAAAAUUGCCUUUGAUACUGGCUAUCUUGAAUUAUUGUGAAGUUGUUAGAAUGUGUAGUGUAGCGGUGAAAUGCAUAGAUAUUACACAGAAUACCGAUUGCGAAGGCAGAUGACUAACAAUAGAUUGACGCUGAGAGACGAAAGCGUGGGGAGCGAACAGGAUUAGAUACCCUGGUAGUCCACGCUGUAAACGAUGAAGACUAGCUGUUUGGCAUUAUAGUUGAGUGGCUAAGCGAAAGUGAUAA